RNAcentral lists this transfer RNA (165 nucleotides) under Nanobdellota archaeon. RNAcentral's name for it is "tRNA-Ala". It matches the Rfam family "tRNA". Rfam says of the family: Transfer RNA (tRNA) molecules are approximately 80 nucleotides in length. Their secondary structure includes four short double-helical elements and three loops (D, anti-codon, and T loops). Further hydrogen bonds mediate the characteristic L-shaped molecular structure. tRNAs have two regions of fundamental functional importance: the anti-codon, which is responsible for specific mRNA codon recognition, and the 3' end, to which the tRNAs corresponding amino acid is attached (by aminoacyl-tRNA synthetases). tRNAs cope with the degeneracy of the genetic code in two manners: having more than one tRNA (with a specific anti-codon) for a particular amino acid; and 'wobble' base-pairing, i.e. permitting non-standard base-pairing at the 3rd anti-codon position. The record is from RNAcentral. Lineage: Archaea; Nanobdellati; Nanobdellota. RNAcentral also lists the same sequence under 1 other name.
GGGCGGAUAGUUCAGUCUGGUAGAACACUCGGUUGGCAAUCGAGUGGCCCCGGGUUCAAAACAACGGAUACCCGUUGACGGCUAACGUCAGCAGGAUAUUUGCUUUGCAAAAUCCUGCGUAGUGGCUUGAAAUGGUAUUCGCUGGUGAAAGUCCCGGUCCGUCCA